This 253-nucleotide ribosomal RNA is filed under the name uncultured bacterium. Its description in RNAcentral is "partial 16S ribosomal RNA". It matches the Rfam family "Bacterial small subunit ribosomal RNA", at positions 524 to 776 of the family's 1533-position model. The record is from RNAcentral.
UACGUAGGGUGCAAGCGUUGUCCGGAAUCAUUGGGCGUAAAGCGCGCGUAGGCGGCCAGAUAAGUCCGGUGUGAAAGUCACAGGCUCAACCUGUGAAUGCCGCUGGAAACUGUCUGGCUCGAGUCCGGGAGGGGCGAGUGGAAUUCCUGGUGUAGCGGUGAAAUGCGCAGAUAUCAGGAGGAACACCAAUGGCGAAGGCAGCUCGCUGGAACGGUACUGACGCUGAGGCGCGAAAGCGUGGGGAGCGAACAGG